Anolis sagrei ordinatus is the source of this 246-nucleotide non-coding RNA. Lineage: Eukaryota; Metazoa; Chordata; Lepidosauria; Squamata; Anolidae. The record is from RefSeq and is a predicted model, not a curated record.
AACAGAUGAAUUCAAUGAAGGCUUAUCAGAGUUUUUUUUUCUAAUUUAUUUUAGACGUACUAGACGACAAGAUAUACGAAAUGGUGACCCCCUUACUCAUUGCUCAGAUUUACAGCAUCAUGAUAAUCCAAGUGGACCUGGGUUUGAAGAGAAAAUUAUCUACGGGGUAGAGAAUAGCAGCACUUUCCUGGAAUGCAGCCCAAAAUCUCAGCGUGCUCUUGUCUACUGGCAGUUCCAGAAACAAAA